Molecule: ribosomal RNA, 397 nt
Filed under: uncultured bacterium
Lineage: Bacteria
Description: partial 16S ribosomal RNA
Rfam family: Bacterial small subunit ribosomal RNA
Source: RNAcentral
AUACGUAGGGGGCGAGCGUUGUCCGGAAUGAUUGGGCGUAAAGGGCGCGUAGGCGGCCCGGUAAGUCUGGAGUGAAAGUCCUGUUUUUAAGAUGGGAAUUGCUUUGGAUACUGUCGGGCUUGAGUGCAGGAGAGGUAAGUGGAAUUCCCAGUGUAGCGGUGAAAUGCGUAGAGAUUGGGAGGAACACCAGUGGCGAAGGCGAAUUACUAGACUGUAACUGACGCUGAGGCGCGAAAGUGUGGGGAGCAAACAGGAUUAGAUACCCUGGUAGUCCACACUGUAAACGAUGAAUGCUAGGUGUAAGAGGUAUCGACCCCUUUUGUGCCGGAGUCAACACAAUAAGCAUUCCGCCUGGGGAGUAAGGCCGCAAGGUUGAAACUCAAAGGAAUUGACGGGG